CUACGUGCCAGCAGCCGCGGUAAUACGGAAGGUCCAGGCGUUAUCCGGAUUUAUUGGGUUUAAAGGGAGCGUAGGCGGAUUAUUAAGUCAGUGGUGAAAGACGGUGGCUCAACCAUCGUUAGCCAUUGAAACUGGUAGUCUUGAGUGCAGACAGGGAUGCUGGAACUCGUGGUGUAGCGGUGAAAUGCUUAGAUAUCACGAUGAACUCCGAUCGCGAAGGCAGGUGUCCGGGCUGCAACUGACGCUGAGGCUCGAAAGUGUGGGUAUCAAACAGGAUUAGAUACCCUGGUAGUCCAUGCCGUAAACGUUGGGCACUAGGUGUGGGGGACAUUCCACGUUUUCCGCGCCGUAGCUAACGCAUUAAGUGCCCCGCCUGGGGAGUACGGCCGCAAGGCUAAAACUCAAAGAAAUUGACGGGGGCCCGCACAAGCGGCGGAGCAUGCGGAUUAAUUCGAUGCAACGCGAAGAACCUUACCAAGGCUUGACAU
RNAcentral lists this ribosomal RNA (488 nucleotides) under uncultured bacterium. Its description in RNAcentral is "bacterial SSU rRNA". It matches the Rfam family "Bacterial small subunit ribosomal RNA", at positions 501 to 987 of the family's 1533-position model. The record is from RNAcentral.